GUACAUUCAAAAAAGAAAGAAGUCUGGAAUAAGAUUGCAUGGGUGAGCAAGAAAAGUGGGUCCAUUUUCCAGCUAUAUAUACACAGCCAUGACUUAAUAUUGUAUCAGCUCAAGGCCUAACCCUAACCCUAACAUCCCUCUGCUUCUUCCUUCAUACCUUAUCAAUGUCAGGGACGUCAGGCUCACAAGAGGAGAAAAAGACUGUUAGCAUUCGGAUGGACAAAAUCGGUUGCCUCGAAAUCAAUAUUACCGUUACUGGAAAAGAAAUUGAGCUGAAGAAAGAUGGAGUCACCCAGUCAGAAAUCAAAUAUGAGAAGAAUCUACAAAUAAUCAUCCGAGACCCCAUGCCAGGCCCCAAGCGAAAUUCCAAGAAAACUAUAAAUUAAAUGCAAGAAGCGUAUCAUUUAUGGAAAUAUUAUUGAAGACAUGAAGAUAUUUGACUUUUAUUGUAUAUAAAAUAAUGGUUAUUGUCUUCUAUGGUAUAUAAGAUUAUUUUAUUUUUCUUUUAUUGUUUUUAUAUAUAAUACGAUUGUAUCUUUUAAAGAAUAUACAACGAAAAAUAUAUUCUUGAUGUCA
Vitis vinifera (wine grape) is the source of this 576-nucleotide long non-coding RNA. RefSeq lists it as uncharacterized. Lineage: Eukaryota; Viridiplantae; Streptophyta; Magnoliopsida; Vitales; Vitaceae. The record is from RefSeq and is a predicted model, not a curated record. The transcript has 2 exons.